RNAcentral lists this ribosomal RNA (467 nucleotides) under uncultured bacterium. RNAcentral describes it as "partial 16S ribosomal RNA". It matches the Rfam family "Bacterial small subunit ribosomal RNA", at positions 28 to 507 of the family's 1533-position model. The record is from RNAcentral.
GAUGAACGCUGGCGGCGUGCUUAACACAUGCAAGUCGAACGGUAAAGCCGAGCUUUCUCUGUGUGCCAGUGUCGCACGGGUGAGUAACACGUGAGCAUACUCCGCCUGUCUCUGUGGUAAGCGCUGAGGAAGCCGCGUCUAACACGAUAUGAGCUGCGACCGCAUAGUCAGCAGGUUGGAAAAUUUUUCGGUCUGGGAUGGGCUCACGGCCUAUCAGCUUGUUGGUGAGGUAAUGGCUCACCAAGGCGUCGACGGGUAGCCGGCCUGAGAGGGUGACCGGCCACACUGGGACUGAGAUACGGCCCAGACUCCUACGGGAGGCAGCAGUGGGGAAUAUUGCACAAUGGGCGGAAGCCUGAUGCAGCAACGCCGCGUGAGGGAUGACGGCCUUCGGGUUGUAAACCUCUUUUAGCAGGGAAGAAGCGAAAGUGACGGUACCGGCAGAAAAAGCGCCGGCUAACUACGUG